This 320-nucleotide ribosomal RNA is filed under the name Clostridium scatologenes. RNAcentral describes it as "bacterial SSU rRNA". It matches the Rfam family "Bacterial small subunit ribosomal RNA", at positions 104 to 422 of the family's 1533-position model. Lineage: Bacteria; Bacillati; Bacillota; Clostridia; Eubacteriales; Clostridiaceae. The record is from RNAcentral.
GGGUGAGUAACACGUGGGCAACCUGCCUCAAAGUGGGGGAUAGCCUUCCGAAAGGAAGAUUAAUACCGCAUAACAUUAGUAUUUCACAUGAAGUACUAAUUAAAGGAGUAAUCCGCUUUGAGAUGGGCCCGCGGCGCAUUAGCUAGUUGGUGAGGUAACGGCUCACCAAGGCCACGAUGCGUAGCCGACCUGAGAGGGUGAUCGGCCACAUUGGAACUGAGACACGGUCCAGACUCCUACGGGAGGCAGCAGUGGGGAAUAUUGCACAAUGGGCGAAAGCCUGAUGCAGCAACGCCGCGUGAGUGAUGAAGGCCUUCGGG